RNAcentral lists this ribosomal RNA (513 nucleotides) under uncultured bacterium. RNAcentral's name for it is "bacterial SSU rRNA". It matches the Rfam family "Bacterial small subunit ribosomal RNA", at positions 10 to 518 of the family's 1533-position model. The record is from RNAcentral.
AGUUGAUCCUGGCUAGGAUGAACGCUAGCGACAGGCCUAACACAUGCAAGUCGAGGGGCAGCGCGGGAGAAGCUUGCUUUCCUGGCGGCGACCGGCGCACGGGUGCGUAACAGGUGUGCAAUCUGUCCAUAGUCGGGGGAUAGCCCAGCGAAAGCUGAAUUAACACUCCAUGUGAAUCGAAGCCGCAUGACUUUGAUUUGAAACGCAAGGACUAUGGGUGAGCACGCUUCUGAUUAGCUAGUUGGUGGGGUAACGGCUCACCAAGGCGACGAUCAGUAGGGGUUCUGAGAGGAAGGUCCCCCACAUUGGAACUGAGACACGGUCCAAACUCCUACGGGAGGCAGCAGUGAGGAAUAUUGGUCAAUGGGCGAGAGCCUGAACCAGCCAAGUCGCGUGAAGGAUGAAGGUUCUAUGGAUUGUAAACUUCUUUUGUCCGAGGGUAAAAAAGGUCACGUGUGACUUCUUGCAAGUAUCGGACGAAUAAGCAUCGGCUAACUCCGUGCCAGCCGCCGC